Molecule: non-coding RNA, 575 nt
Organism: Prunus avium (sweet cherry)
Lineage: Eukaryota; Viridiplantae; Streptophyta; Magnoliopsida; Rosales; Rosaceae
Source: RefSeq, a predicted model, not a curated record
CAGUCCACCAGAAGAAGUUGAUUCCGUUCUCGGCUUCUCGUCCUAUCCUACAGUUUCGUCCUUAUUAUCUCAGUCCACACCUCACUUCCCAUGUUUGAUUAUUUAUACUAAAAAUGUUUAAAACAAAAUAAUUUAAAAGGAAAGAAGAAACCCAAUUAACUAUUACCAGAAACCCAUCAUUAUUUUACUAUAAAGGUAUGCAAUUUUCACGACCACAGAAAAAUUGGCUCAAAGGGUUCUCGUGGUUUUGUUCAUUUGUUUGAAAUUUAUCUUCUUCUCUCUCAAAGUUUAUUGCUUUUUGUUGAUUUGAAUAAAAAAGCUGAGUUGGGAUGGCUCUUAAUUUAUUGUCUCCAGCUGAAAUCAAAGCCAUCUCUUUCUUGGAUUCCACCAAGUACACCCACCUCCCCAAGCUUCCAGGUGGGUUUGCUUUGAGGAGGAAAGAUUGCAAAACAGUAGUUGGGAGAAUUCAAUGCUCAGCAGCAGCACAGACACCUCCUCCAGCUUGGCCGGGACGUGCCGUUCCGGAGACAAGCCGCAGAACUUGGGAUGGCCCAAAGCCUAUUUCGAUUGUUGGA